Molecule: unclassified non-coding RNA, 206 nt
Filed under: soil metagenome
Description: partial contains 5.8S ribosomal RNA, internal transcribed spacer 2, and large subunit ribosomal RNA
Source: RNAcentral
AACGCACGAGACCUGCGGACCUGCGGAAGGAUCAUUAUAGAGUUUUCUAACUCCCAAACCCAUGUGAACUUACCUUUGUUGCCUCGGCGGAGCCUACCCGGUACCUACCCUGUAGCGCCCCGCCGGUGGACUUCUAAACUAUUGUUAUUUUAAUGAUAUCUGAGAGUCUUAUUUUAAUAAGUCAAAACUUUCAGCAAUGGAUCUCU